CUACUGGGGUAUCUAAUCCUGUUUGCUCCCCACGCUUUCGCACAUGAGCGUCAGUAUCGACCCAGAAAGCUGCCUUCGCCAUCGGUGUUCCUUCCAAUAUCUACGCAUUUCACUGCUACACUGGAAAUUCCGCUUUCCUCUUUCAUACUCUAGUCGCCCAGUUUCAAAUGCAGUUCCCAGGUUAAGCCCGGGGCUUUCACAUCUGACUUGGGCAACCGCCUGCGUGCGCUUUACGCCCAGUAAUUCCGAAUAACGCUCGCACCCUCCGUAUUACCGCGGCUGCUGGCAC
This 289-nucleotide ribosomal RNA is filed under the name uncultured Cardiobacterium sp. RNAcentral's name for it is "partial 16S ribosomal RNA". Lineage: Bacteria; Pseudomonadati; Pseudomonadota; Gammaproteobacteria; Cardiobacteriales; Cardiobacteriaceae. The record is from RNAcentral.